RNAcentral lists this ribosomal RNA (253 nucleotides) under uncultured bacterium. RNAcentral describes it as "partial 16S ribosomal RNA". It matches the Rfam family "Bacterial small subunit ribosomal RNA", at positions 524 to 776 of the family's 1533-position model. The record is from RNAcentral.
CACGUAGGGUGCGAGCGUUGUCCGGAAUUAUUGGGCGUAAAGAGCUUGUAGGCGGUUUGUCGCGUCUGCCGUGAAAAUCCGGGGCUCAACCCCGGACUUGCGGUGGGUACGGGCAGACUAGAGUGUGGUAGGGGAGACUGGAAUUCCUGGUGUAGCGGUGAAAUGCGCAGAUAUCAGGAGGAACACCGAUGGCGAAGGCAGGUCUCUGGGCAUUAACUGACGCUGAGGAGCGAAAGCAUGGGGAGCGAACAGG